UUAGCUGUUUCCUGCUUAAAACUUUCACUUCGUAGUUUAUAUUUUUUUCCUUAAGGAUUUUUUAGACUAAAUUGUAGUCAUCUAUAUUACUCAAUAUGACAGGAGGAAGCUUACGUUUAGGAACUUUGUCCGGUUCAGGAUAUUUUGUGACAUUUAGUUCGUUUAGUUGUCCUUUUUUGUUUGUUUUGUCAUUGUUGUCUUUUGCACCUGCAGGACUUGCAACUUUUCUUUUUCGUUUAUUUUGAUCUCAACAUUCAGUUUCUUUCAUUAGCUCUUGCUUGUCCGGAUAAAACUCGUCCUGUUUUGAACAGCUGUUCAAUUUCAGCUGGUAUAUUAAAGGUAGCUAAAUUAAGUAAUUUCAGCUGGUAAUAUUUAAGGUCACAAUUAGCUGCCCUAAGUUCCGAUAUCUCUUUCUUGAGCUCAUGGCAAAGGCUUUCCAAAUUACUAAUAUGAAGGAGCUGCUGAUUCAUAAUUUCUUGUGCUUUAAUUAUUUCACCUGAUGUAACUUCGUUUAUUCUGUUAGCUGGUUUUUGCUGAAUAAUUAUGUUGUUUGAGGUAGUACGUAGCUUAGACUCCUGAAUACUUUUCCUUGGUAAAUGUCCUAUUUUGCCGCUUCGUAGGAACGGAUUCGGUGUAUUCCUGUUUGGUGUACCUUGUUGAUCCUUAUUAGAAGAUGAUUGCAAUAAAUGAUCCUCCCCAGAAUCCGUGGGAUCGGUCUUGUGAGAAGUACAUGAAGUGCGUUACCAAGAGGAGCCCGGCAGAUAACUAUGUUACCUACCUUCGGGGAGGUGAGACCUGGAUUCGUUGACAAAGCUGUUCCAAACAGUAUGGCAUUUCCCAGAAGUACGUUGAGAUCGUUCAUCCUAAAUAUAUGCAAUCCUAGAAAUAGUUUCGUUUAUGAAUGAAAAUAAUUUUAAUAGUGUGGUGGGUAUACAUAGACUAUAUCAGAAACAAUUUUAUAGACUUAGAAAUUCACACAAAAAAAACGUGAACAUUUAAUUUUCUACUUUUCAGCUUUUUAAAUUCUACUUUUUAGUUUUUCGGACGGGACAUUUUUACUUUUCAGUUUUAAAAAAAAAUUACUAAUUACAAAAUAUAUGAAAAUAUUUAAUUAGGUAUAAAAACCAAAAUAUAUUAAAAUUAUAAUUGGCGACUUGAACCAAUAUUCUUUUUAAACAACUAAAAAAUAGAAAUUUCCAUUAAAAAAAUUUAAUAAAAAGCGUUUCUUUGUGUGCAUAUACAUAUUUAUGAAAAAUAAAAACACAAAGACUUUUUAAUAUUUUUGUUAGAAAUAAUAAAUAUGUAUAUAUAUAAUUCAAAAAUUUUACAAAAAUUUAAAAAUAUUCGGUUCAUAUGAUUUGACUUUCAACAUUUUUUUUAAAAGGUAACUGUUCUGCAAUGUUUUUUUUUAUUAUUAAAAGUAUUGACUCCGUUGAUAUGUACACAUCUUGUCAUAGUGUAUGUAGACAUUCACAUAUGCAUAUUUGUUUUUUUUUAUGAACAAAAUAAAUUAUUUACGAAUCGAAGUGAUUUUUUAUUAAAAGUAGCUAACAAAAUUAAUAAAGUUUGUUUAAACUUUAAAUAGUUUGUAAAGUAGCAAUUUUCCAAGUGAGAUAUUCCAGCUCGAAUUCAAUGGUUGAUUGCGUCAUUUAUUGUUAGCUUUCAUUCAUAGAAAUUUGAAAAAACUUCGGAAAUAUAUGGCGCCAAAAAUGGGACUUUUACAAAUUUGGGGAGGCGAAAACUUUCAAGGGGGUGGAGUUGGAAAAAAAUUUUUAUUAGUAUCUAAAAGCUAGAAAAGUUUCAAACUUCUACAACCUAUUUUAUAGAAAACUGAUAUCAAGAACUUGAAGAGGAAAAGGCUUUAGAUAACAGUUAAUUUUAGCAAACAUUUCUUUUUAACAUUCAGUUACGCUGUGCCGCAUUAAAAAAUGUAUGUCCUGUAUUUUUACUAAAUUUUUUAAAUUAUUUAUGUGGCACUUAAAUGAUGUUCUUAAAAAAGUAAAUUUUUCAGCAAAGUUGAAAACAGAAUAUUGAAGAUUAAGAAAUAGCAUCAAGACCUGUUCAAAAUUUAGUUAAAAUAAAAAAAAAUUCUAAUUUAUAUAAAUAAUUUUAAAAAAUAAUAUAAAUAAAUUUAUUAUUUUUUAAAAUUAUUUAAAAAAUAAUAAAUUUAUUUUAAGAUUUUUCAUUUUUAUUUCAAUCUCGUCUUGCUAAAUUUAAAACUCAUAUUUUAUAUGAAUAUGCAUACACACCUGUUAGGUGUAGAUACACCUAGUAGGCAGGGACGGAUCUUUCAUAUAUGCAAAGUAUGCAUUUGCAAUGGGCGAUAAAAAAAAGAGGCGACAUUAAAAACUUAAAAAAAAACCCGAAAUUUAAAAAAAAUUUUUUUAAUGUUUCCUAAUAUUGUUUCUUCCAAAUUUUUUUUAUAUCAAUUUACAGCGAAAUUAAUUUGAUAAAAUGUACCUGUAUACAAACAUAAUAUUUUAUAGAAUGACCCACGCUCGGACCAUGUCCGAUGAAAGAGACAUUUGUUCCCAACUUCGCCAAUUGAUCGGCCUCUUCAUUGCCAGGUUGUUGAAGCAACUCCAGGCUAUCUUCGAGUUAAAAGUUGAUGAUUUCAGUGCCGCUAGAGUAACCUGGCUGUUGCAAACUAUGGAAAUGGAACACUUCCGUGAGCCGUCUCGCAAGCAGCGCACAGCACAUGACCCGAUGGCGAAGACCUCCGCCUGAAAACGAAGGGAGCUUCGUCUAAAGGCGUAUAGAACCUAUAGUUGCGGCCGUAUACACCAGCACCCUUGUCGCGAUCACCUUUAGAGAUAUCCGUGUGCCACACGGACGCCUGAUCCGGCUAGGAGCCUGUAAUUGCCUCGAUGGACUCCAGUCAGGUAUUAUUACCCGAAAGUUCCUCUUGCAUUUAAUCGUCUUGAUUUGGAUGACCCACAAAAAUUUGAUGUUUUCAGCCAUCAGGACAGGAAUGCCGCCCAAUUUCGGUGUCACGUCCCUCCUGUUGGUGAAAAGUACACACUUUAGUUUUUGCGGAUUCACAUUUAAAUCCGCGCCCUUACACUAGCCCUCGACUAGAGCCAGGGCCAGUUGAGUGCGCUCCGACACUGUAGUUUCGAAUUUGCCGCGGAGCAUCAAGACCAGGUCGCCAGUAUAGCUAAUGUAUCCGAAUUCUGAUCGCUCCAAUUUCAGAAGCAGCUGGUCCAUAACCAGAAGCCACAAAAGUGGGGAAAGAGCCUCACCUUGUGGGUAGCCCCUUGUGGCCGUGACCAUCAAGGAGUCAGUAGCAAUUACCGCUUCGAUCCUUCUACCACUGAGCGUGCCACUUGUUCAACAAAUAAUGGAGGAGCAGAUGCCCCUCGACGUCAUCGCUUGCUCAAUGAUUUUUAAAUCGCUUGCUGAUUUCUAAAGCUAACACCUUUUCCAUAGCCUUUAGUAGAAAAGAUGUUCAGCUGAUAGGCUUAUAUGAUUCAGCCUCGGCUAUGUCUCUUCGGAAAGUACCCUGGGACCAGACUUUCCCUGAACAUAUUUGUUAUAUGUAGCAGAAGAACAUCCUUUGCAGAAAUGCCGGGUAUACAACAUCGUCGUCGAGACUCUUGUAAGGGCCAAACGAAUUAAUUGCCCAGUCUACCCUUCCUUUGGUGAAAAUAAUCUUUGCGCCCUUGUAAGCAAAUAUCAACUAAAAUAAAUAAAACAUAAAUAUUGCUGAUGGGCAAAUAACAUAAUAUAGAUGAUAACAAUUAAUGUAAAAACUUUCCCAAAAUAAUUAGGAAUGUUGUUAAUCUUGAAAAAAUAAAUAAAAGAAUGUAACUUAGGAAAUUUUCUGAAGGUCAUUUUGUAAAAAUAAUAUUGUUAAUCUGGUUAAUCAAAUAGUAGAAAUUAUUUUAAAACUUUCCAUUUGAUUUUAAAAGUAAUUAAUCUGGUUUUAAUUCAAAAGUAAUAAUUGAUAAUUAUAAGUAAACAUAU
This is a long non-coding RNA of Condylostylus longicornis, 3966 nucleotides long. RefSeq lists it as uncharacterized. NCBI's taxonomy places the organism in Eukaryota, Metazoa, Arthropoda, Insecta, Diptera, Dolichopodidae. The record is from RefSeq and is a predicted model, not a curated record. The transcript is spliced from 3 exons.